RNAcentral lists this transfer RNA (72 nucleotides) under Phialocephala subalpina. It matches the Rfam family "tRNA". From Rfam's summary of the family: Transfer RNA (tRNA) molecules are approximately 80 nucleotides in length. Their secondary structure includes four short double-helical elements and three loops (D, anti-codon, and T loops). Further hydrogen bonds mediate the characteristic L-shaped molecular structure. tRNAs have two regions of fundamental functional importance: the anti-codon, which is responsible for specific mRNA codon recognition, and the 3' end, to which the tRNAs corresponding amino acid is attached (by aminoacyl-tRNA synthetases). tRNAs cope with the degeneracy of the genetic code in two manners: having more than one tRNA (with a specific anti-codon) for a particular amino acid; and 'wobble' base-pairing, i.e. permitting non-standard base-pairing at the 3rd anti-codon position. The record is from Rfam by way of RNAcentral. Lineage: Eukaryota; Fungi; Ascomycota; Leotiomycetes; Helotiales; Mollisiaceae.
UACCCGUUGGCUUAAUGACAAAGCGCUUGACUUCGAAUCAAGAGAUUGCUGGUUCGACCCCAGCACGGGUCG